This 446-nucleotide ribosomal RNA is filed under the name uncultured bacterium. RNAcentral's name for it is "partial 16S ribosomal RNA". It matches the Rfam family "Bacterial small subunit ribosomal RNA", at positions 50 to 523 of the family's 1533-position model. The record is from RNAcentral.
AACACAUGCAAGUCGAACGGGUGUAUUAGUUGGUUCGCCAACAAAAUGCAUCAGUGGCAGACGGGUGAGUAAUGCAUAGGAAUCUGCCUGACAGUACGGAAUAGUUACUAGAAAUGGUGAGUAAUACCGCAUACGCCCUGAGGGGGAAAGAUUUAUCGCUGUCAGAUGAGCCUAUGUUGGAUUAGCUAGUUGGUAGGGUAAAGGCCUACCAAGGCGACGAUCCAUAGCUGGCCUGAGAGGGUGAACAGCCACACUGGGACUGAGAUACGGCCCAGACUCCUACGGGAGGCAGCAGUGGGGAAUAUUGGGCAAUGGGCGAAAGCCUGACCGAGCCAUGCCGCAUGAGUGAUGAAGGCCUUCGGGUUGUAAAGCUCUUUCAGUGGGGAAGAUAAUGACGGUACCCACAGAAGAAGUCCUGGCUAACUCCGUGCCAGCAGCCGCGGUAA